Molecule: ribosomal RNA, 501 nt
Filed under: uncultured bacterium
Lineage: Bacteria
Description: partial 16S ribosomal RNA
Rfam family: Bacterial small subunit ribosomal RNA
Source: RNAcentral
AUUGAACGCUGGCGGCACGCCUAACACAUGCAAGUCGAGCGGUAGCAGGACCUGUAGCAAUACAGGUUGCUGACGAGCGGCGGACGGGUGAGGAAUACGUAGGAACCUGCCUUAUAGUGGGGGAUAACUAAGGGAAACUUUAGCUAAUACCGCAUAAUCUCGAGAGAGGAAAGCUACAGCAAGGUGGCGCUAAAAGAGGGGCCUGCGUCCGAUUAGCUAGUUGGUGAGGUAAGAGCUCACCAAGGCGAUGAUCGGUAACUGGUCUGAGAGGGCGACCAGUCACACUGGGACUGAGACACGGCCCAGACUCCUACGGGAGGCAGCAGUGGGGAAUAUUGGACAAUGGGGGCAACCCUGAUCCAGCGAUGCCGCGUGAGUGAAGAAGGCCUUCGGGUCGUAAAGCUCUUUAGGUUGGGAAGAAGGGUGUUAGAGGAAAUGCUAAUGCUUUGACGGUACCGACAGAAUAAGCACCGGCAAACUCUGUGCCAGCAGCCGCGGUAA